RNAcentral lists this ribosomal RNA (387 nucleotides) under Gephyrocapsa cf. oceanica. RNAcentral describes it as "partial small subunit ribosomal RNA". It matches the Rfam family "Eukaryotic small subunit ribosomal RNA", at positions 582 to 975 of the family's 1831-position model. The record is from RNAcentral. Lineage: Eukaryota; Haptophyta; Isochrysidales; Noelaerhabdaceae.
AUUCCAGCUCCAAUAGCGUAUAUUAAAGUUGUUGCAGUUAAAACGCUCGUAGUCGGAUUUCGGGGCGGGCCGACCGGUCUGCCGAUGGGUAUGCACUGGCCGGCGCGUCCUUCCACCCGGAGACCGCGCCUACUCUUAACUGAGCGGGCGCGGGAGACGGGUCUUUUACUUUGAAAAAAUCAGAGUGUUUCAAGCAGGCAGUCGCUCUUGCAUGGAUUAGCAUGGGAUAAUGAAAUAGGACUCUGGUGCUAUUUUGUUGGUUUACGGACCGAUGUAAUGAUUAAUAGGAGCAGUUGGGGACAUUUAUAUUCCAUGGCUAGAGGUGAAAUUCUUGGAUUCAUGGAUGAUAAACUAUUGCGAAAGCAUUUGUCAAAGAUGUUUUCAUUG